UAAGGAAUAUUGGUCAAUGGACGAAAGUCUGAACCAGCCAUGCCGCGUGGAGGAUGAAGGUCCUCUGGAUUGUAAACUUCUUUUAUCUGGGACGAAAAAAGGUCUUUCUAGAUCGUCUGACGGUACCAGAUGAAUAAGCACCGGCUAACUCCGUGCCAGCAGCCGCGGUAAUACGGAGGGUGCAAGCGUUAUCCGGAUUCACUGGGUUUAAAGGGUGCGUAGGUGGGUUGGUAAGUCAGUGGUGAAAUCUUCGAGCUUAACUCGGAAACUGCCAUUGAUACUAUCAGUCUUGAAUAUUGUGGAGGUUAGCGGAAUAUGUCAUGUAGCGGUGAAAUGCUUAGAUAUGACAUAGAACACCAAUUGCGAAGGCAGCUGGCUACACAUAUAUUGACACUGAGGCACGAAAGCGUGGGGAUCAAACAGGAUUAGAUACCCUGGUAGUCCACGCCCUAAACUAUGGAUACUCGACAUACGCGAUACACUGUGUGUGUCUGAGCGAAAGCAUUAAGUAUCCCCACCUGGGAAGUACGAUCGCAAGAUUGAAACUCAAAGGAA
This 555-nucleotide ribosomal RNA is filed under the name uncultured bacterium. RNAcentral's name for it is "partial 16S ribosomal RNA". It matches the Rfam family "Bacterial small subunit ribosomal RNA", at positions 355 to 909 of the family's 1533-position model. The record is from RNAcentral.